This 464-nucleotide ribosomal RNA is filed under the name uncultured bacterium. RNAcentral's name for it is "bacterial SSU rRNA". It matches the Rfam family "Bacterial small subunit ribosomal RNA", at positions 917 to 1382 of the family's 1533-position model. The record is from RNAcentral.
GGGCCCGCACAAGCGGCGGAGCAUGUUGCUUAAUUCGAAGCAACGCGAAGAACCUUACCAAGGUUUGACAUGCAGGGAAAAGCCGUAGAGAUAUGGUGUCCGUAAGGGUCCUGCACAGGUGGUGCAUGGCUGUCGUCAGCUCGUGUCGUGAGAUGUUGGGUUAAGUCCCGCAACGAGCGCAACCCUCGUCCUAUGUUGCCAGCGGAUAAUGCCGGGGACUCAUAGGAGACUGCCGGGGUCAACUCGGAGGAAGGUGGGGAUGACGUCAAGUCCUCAUGCCCCUUAUAUCUUGGGCUGCAAACAUGCUACAAUGGCCAGUACAGAGGGCUGCGAGACCGUAAGGUGGAGCGAAUCUCAAAAAGCUGGUCUCAGUUCGGAUUGGGGUCUGCAACUCGACCCCAUGAAGUCGGAGUCGCUAGUAAUCGCGAAUCAGCAACGUCGCGGUGAAUACGUUCCCGGGCCUU